RNAcentral lists this ribosomal RNA (253 nucleotides) under uncultured bacterium. RNAcentral's name for it is "partial 16S ribosomal RNA". It matches the Rfam family "Bacterial small subunit ribosomal RNA", at positions 524 to 776 of the family's 1533-position model. The record is from RNAcentral.
UACGAAGGGUCCUAGCGUUGUUCGGAGUUAUUGGGCGUAAAGCGGGUGUAGGCGGUUUUAUAAGUCAGGAGUGAAAGCCCUCGGCUCAACCGAGGAAGUGCUUUUGAAACUGUAGAACUUGAGUACUGGAGAGGAUAGUAGAAUUCCUGGUGUAGUGGUGAAAUACGUAGAUAUCAGGAGGAAUACCGGUGGCGAAGGCGGCUAUCUGGCCAGAUACUGACGCUGAGAACCGAAAGCGUGGGGAGCAAACAGG